CCUACGGGUGGCAGCAGUGGGGAAUAUUGCACAAUGGGGGAAAUCCUGAUGCAGCGACGCCGCGUGAAGGAAGACGUCUCUCGGUAUGUAAACUUCCAUUAGUAGGGAAGAAAAUGACGGUACCUGUCUAAGACGCCCCGUCUAACUACGUGCCAGCAACCGCGGGACCACGUAGGGGGCAAGUGUCAUCCGGAUUUACUGGGUGUAAAGGGGGCGUAGGCGGUUUAGCAAGUCAGCAGUGAAAGCCCGGGGUUUAAAUCCGGGACAGUUUUUGAAACUGGUGAACUUGAUUGCAGGAGAGGUAAGUGGAAUUCGUGGUGUAGCGGUGAAAUGCAUAGAUAUUAGGAAGAACUCCGGUGGCGAAGGCAGCUUACUGGA
This 378-nucleotide ribosomal RNA is filed under the name uncultured bacterium. Its description in RNAcentral is "partial 16S ribosomal RNA". It matches the Rfam family "Bacterial small subunit ribosomal RNA", at positions 338 to 733 of the family's 1533-position model. The record is from RNAcentral.